AGUGGCGAACGGGUGAGUAACGCGUGAGGAACCUGCCUCAAAGAAGGGGGACAACAGUUGGAAACGACUGCUAAUACCGCAUAAGCCCACGGGUCGGCAUCGACCAGAGGGAAAAGGAGCAAUCCGCUUUGAGAUGGCCUCGCGUCCGAUUAGCUAGUUGGUGAGGUAAUGGCCCACCAAGGCGACGAUCGGUAGCCGGACUGAGAGGUUGAACGGCCACAUUGGGACUGAGACACGGCCCAGACUCCUACGGGAGGCAGCAUG
RNAcentral lists this ribosomal RNA (264 nucleotides) under uncultured bacterium. Its description in RNAcentral is "partial 16S ribosomal RNA". It matches the Rfam family "Bacterial small subunit ribosomal RNA", at positions 94 to 353 of the family's 1533-position model. The record is from RNAcentral.